GAUUAGUUUGAUCCUGGCUCAGAUUGAAACGCUGGCGGCAUGCCUUACACAUGCAAGUCGAACGGUAACAGGUCUUCGGAUGCUGACGAGUGGCGAACGGGUGAGUAAUACAUCGGAACGUGCCCGAUCGUGGGGGAUAACGAGGCGAAAGCUUUGCUAAUACCGCAUACGAUCUGAGGAUGAAAGCGGGGGACCGUAAGGCCUCGCGCGAUCGGAGCGGCCGAUGUCAGAUUAGGUAGUUGGUGGGGUAAAGGCUCACCAAGCCGACGAUCUGUAGCUGGUCUGAGAGGACGACCAGCCACACUGGGACUGAGACACGGCCCAGACUCCUACGGGAGGCAGCAGUGGGGAAUUUUGGACAAUGGGCGCAAGCCUGAUCCAGCAAUGCCGCGUGCAGGAAGAAGGCCUUCGGGUUGUAAACUGCUUUUGUACGGAGCGAAAAGGUCUUCCCUAAUACGGGAGGCUGAUGACGGUACCGUAAGAAUAAGCACCGGCUAACUACGUGCCAGCAGCCGCGGUAAUACGUAGGGUGCGAGCGUUAAUCGGAAUUACUGGGCGUAAAGCGUGCGCAGGCGGUUUUGUAAGACAGGCGUGAAAUCCCCCGGGCUCAACCUGGGAACUGCGCUUGUGACUGCAAGGCUAGAGUAUGGCAGAGGGGGGUGGAAUUCCACGUGUAGCAGUGAAAUGCGUAGAGAUGUGGAGGAACACCAAUGGCGAAGGCAGCCCCCUGGGCCAAUACUGACGCUCAUGCACGAAAGCGUGGGUAGCAAACAGGAUUAGAUACCCUGGUAGUCCAAUC
Molecule: ribosomal RNA, 799 nt
Filed under: uncultured bacterium
Lineage: Bacteria
Description: bacterial SSU rRNA
Rfam family: Bacterial small subunit ribosomal RNA
Source: RNAcentral